UACCUGCAGCUCGAGUGGUAACCGCUAUUAUUGGGCCUAAAGCGUCCGUAGCCGGUUUGGUAAAUAUCUGGGUAAAUCGUGAGGCUUAACUUCACGAAUUUCGGAUAGACUGCCAGACUUGGGAUCGGGGGAGGUCAGAGGUACUCCAGGGGUAGCGGUGAAAUGUUGUAAUCCUUGGAGGACCACCGGUAGCGAAGGCGUCUGACUAGAACGAGUCCGACGGUGAGGGACGAAGCCCUGGGGCGCAAACCGGAUUAGAUACCCGGGUAGUCCAGGGUGUAAACGAUGUGGGCUUUGUAUUGGAGGUCCCACGAGGGCGUCCAGUGCAGAAGAGAAGUUGUUAAGCCCACCGCCUGGGAAGUACGGUCGCAAGGCUGAAACUUAAAGGAAUUGGCGGGGAGCACAGCAACGGGAGGAGCGUGCGGUUU
Molecule: ribosomal RNA, 428 nt
Filed under: uncultured archaeon
Lineage: Archaea
Description: bacterial SSU rRNA
Rfam family: Archaeal small subunit ribosomal RNA
Source: RNAcentral